AGUUUAUUACUUCCAUUAUAUUUUUUAAGACAAAAUGUGCAAACAUUUACAGAAAUAAUUCCUAGAACUAGAAAAUACAUUUAAGAUACAAACUUGUGUUAAUUAGUAAAAUAGAUACUUUUUAAACAAUUAUAUACACAUCUUUAUUAUACAGUAUUUUCCAAAUUCACUAAUUUCACUGCAAAGUGUAAAAGGACAUCAUUCCAUUGAAAAUCAUGGCUUAUUUAGCAAUUAGCAAAUAUGCAAAUAAGAAGGUUUUGUGCAACGGUGCAUUUAACAACAUAAUGUAAAACUAAAUUAGUUUCAAAAUCAAGGAGACAGUAAGUGAAAAUGCAAGUGUUACAAUAAUCUGAUUAGCCUAAUGUACUUGCUAAUAUAUUAUUACAUGUAAAUGAAACACAAACUGUACAUCAAAGUGAAAAUGUAUCCACUUCUUAGAAGACAUUUUUUUAACUGUAUAUGAUGCUAUCCUUACAGUCAGAAGUUACCAACAUUAAUUAUUUUAAUUACUUAAAUACAUAUUAAUUUCCUCCUAACACCAUUCUUUUGUGAUGAGCACUGUUAUGUCUUAGAGUUGUAGAGCUGUAAUAGCAUGUUUUCUAAAUUUAUAAUAUCAUACUGGAAGACCUAAUUUGGCUCUGCAGUUAUAAAAUAAUUUACAGGCAAUGGUGCAAGUGAAAACAAAUCGCUGCAUAUUUGUUUCAUAGAAACAUAGAAACAUACAAUGUGACGGCAGAUAAGAACCAUUCGGCCCUUCUAGUCUGCCCAGUUUUCUAAUUACUCUCCUUAGUCCCUGGCCUUAUUUUAUAGUUAGGAUAGCCUUAUGCCUAUCCCACACAUGUUUAAACUCCUUAACUGUGUUAACCUCUACCACUUCAGCUGAAAGGCUAUUACAUGCAUCCCUUACCCUCUCAGUAAAUUAAUACUUCCUGAUAAUACUUCCUCUAAUUUAAGACUAUGUCCUCUUGUUGGGGUAGUUUUUCUUUUUAAAAAUAGUUUCCUCUUUUACUGUGUUGAUUCACUUUAUAUACUUCAUAUCCCACCUGUCUCGUCUUUCCUCCAAACUCUACAUGUUAAGAUUCUUUAACCUUUCCUUGUAAGUUUUAUCCUGUAAUCCAAGAACAAGUUUAGUAGCCAGUUUUGAACUCUCUCUAAAGUAUCAAUAUCUUUCAGGAGAUAUAGUCUCCAGUACUGCGUACAAUACUCCAAGUGUAAUCUUACCAGUGUUCUGUACAAUGGCAUGAGCACUUCCCUCUUUCUACUGCUAAUACCUCUCCCUAUACAACCAAGCAUUCAGCUAGCAUUCCCUGCUGCUCUAUUACAUUGACUGCCUACCUUUAAGUCUUAUGAAAUAAUUACCCAUAAAUCCCUUUCCUCAGAUGUUGAGGUUAAGACUGUAUCAAAUAUUCUAUACUUUGCCCUUGGGUUUUUACGUCCAAGAUGCAUUAUCUUGCACUUAUCCACAUUAAAUGUCAGCUGCCACAACUCUGACCAUUUUUCUAGUAUUACUAAAUCAUUUGCCAUUUGGCUUAUCCCUCCCGGAACAUUAACCCUGUUACAUAUUUUGUAUCAUCAGCAAAAAGACAUACCUUGCCAUCAAGAACUUCUGCAAUAUCACUAAUAAAAAUAUUAAAGAGUAUGGGCCCUAGUACAGAUCCCUGAGGUACCCCACUGGUGACAAGACCAUGCUUCAAAUAUACUCCAUUAACUGCAACCUUCUGUUGUCUGUCACUCAGCCACUGCCUAACCCAUUCAACAAUAUUGGAAUCCAAAUUUAAAGAUUACAGUUUAUUGAUAAGCCUUCUAUGUGCAACAGUGUUAAAAGUCUUAAUGAAAUCUAGGUAAGCAAUGACUACUGCACUACCCUGAUCUAUUAUUUUAGUUACCCAAUCAAAAAAAUCAAUAAUAUUAGUUUGGCAUGACCUCCCUGAAGUAAACCCAUGUUUUAUCUGAUCUUGAAAUCCAAGUGAUUUAGAUGUUCAACAAUCCUAACUUUUUCAUGGUUUCCAUUACUUUCCCCACUACUGAAGUAAGGCUUACUGGCCUAUAGUUGCCGGACUCCUCCCUACUAUCUUUCUUGUAAUGGGCACAACAUUCGCUAAUUUCCAAUCUUCUGGGACUACUCCCAUUAACAAUAGUUGGUAAAAUAAAUCCAUUAAUGGUUUUGCUAGUACACCACUAAGCUUGUUUAAUACCUUUGGGUUUAUUCGAUCAGGCCCCAUCGACUUAUUUGUACUUCUGACAGUUGAAAUAGAACCUCAUCCUCUGUAAACUCUCAAGUCACUCAAGCUAAUAAUGACAGGAAUAUAAAAAAUAAUAAUAAUAAUAAUAAAGCAUCCUACUUUUAUACAAAAUAUAUGCAGAUGUACAGUGACCAGCCACUUUGUAUGGCUAUAAGACUCCUGUUUACCAAGUCAUACUUUAUGAUAAAUAAUAAUGGAACUUUGCUGGGAGUGAACCAUGAAAGUGCAAUGUGUACAUGAAUGUAAAAAUUACUUGUAACUCUUUUGGGCAUGUAAUGAAUCCAGGAAUUCAUACGGUUGUCUAUUUACAAGUGGAAUUUAAAAUGAUUACAAAUAAAUAUAAAACCAAACAAGGGGCGCAUGAAAUUAGAGAGCAUGGCACUAGUUUCCGUAAGUCACAAUCUGCCUUACUAAUCUUUAUAUUACUACAAUAAUAUUAUCCCUAGAUUUAUCAACUUUUAUCUUAAUUAACUAGACUUUAUAAAAGUAUAUUAUUAUUAUUUUUAAGACUAUUCAGUGUUGGAGCCUAGCCCCUUAUGACAACUCAUAAUACCUGCUAAUACUUCGCCAUGUAAAGGUCUUGUAAUGCCUGUAAAAAAUAACCAGGUAAACAUCUUGCUGUGUUCCUGCUUGAAUUCCACACUCCACACUCCACACAGGCAUCAAUCAACUUGCAAUGCCAAAUUACAAAAUACUGCAAUUAAGCAUUUGUAACGCUUUCGUGAUGCCACAGAGUUCAUCAUCUAUCCUGUUAAAAAGGUGUGCAAAGUAUUUUUCCUGGUGUUUAACAUGAUAGAAAAACAGCUAUAUUGUGAUAUAUAAACUUGCAUUAAUUCUGUAUUGCUGUUCUAAGCAAUGGCAUAUUCCUUUGACCGAAGGGAGAAGCUCUGGCUUCAAUGAUUGACCCUCAAAGAUACCAAAAUAGGGUGAAUGAGGUAAUUUUCAUUUUGUUCUACUUUUUAUACUGUGAAGAGUUUGUUAAAUGGACACACUACCAAUAGAGCUCUUUUUUUUGUAUGCUAAAAUCUUUUCAGACAUGUUUUGCACUGUGUGCUGCACCAUAAGUCUGCAUCUUUAGCCACUCCCCCUCACUCCAGAAAAAGGCUUCCUUAUCAGAUAUAUGCAAACAGCUCAGCCAAUGACAGUACUGCAUUAGAAGGGCAGGGCACCCAAGGGUACAUAAAAUAAGGAUAUCACUACCUGUUUAUAGUUAUUCUGACUGACUGCAGCCCGGUUGAGAAAGGCAAUUUGCUCAGUGCUGUUGGUGCUGAGAUUGUGUACAGACAUUUGACAAGGAAGUAUUCCUAGCAUGAGGAGGCGUGGCUUUUUGUGCAAAAGCUAUAAAGAUUUCAGCUUGCAAAAACAUACAGCAUGUCAAUGAGGCCAAGAGCUAUCAAAAGUUGCAAGUAUCAAUUUAGGGAGUUAUGUUCCAAACUAUUAAAAGAUCAAAAAUAUAUUUUUUUUUAAAAUGCCAUUUUCUUAAAGGGACACUAUAGGUAUCAAAUUAACUUUAGCUUGAUGAAGCAGUUUUAGUUUAUAGAUCAUGCCCCUGCAGUCUCACACAAUUAUUUUGCUAUUUAAUGAGUUAAAACACUUUUGUUCCUCUCCAUGCAGUCCUAGCCACACCUCUCCUGGCUAUCAAUCACAUUUUAACUUACUUUUAGAGGUUUUUAUCUCAUGCUCUGUAACUUGAACUUUAACCUCUUAAGGAUGGAGGCAAUUGUACAGUUUCUGAUCAAAACGAAACCUGGAAUUUGACAAUAUGUCUGUUCAACUAUAGUUUGCCUGUUCGUAUUAAGUGCACCCAUAUUUAUUAUAUAUAAUUUUGUUCAGGAGGAACUGGGCUUUUAUUUCACAGUGAAUGUUUAUAUAUGAAGCCUAAUUCUUUAUGAAUAAAAUCUAAAACUUAUGAGAAAUUAAGAAAUGUUAUUUUCUAAAGUAUGCAUGGCAUUUUAACUGUGAAUAUCAUAAUACUGUUAGCUUUUUCUGAAAUAAAAUACACAUAUUUAUGUACAGUGAUGCAUCAUGAGUACAAUAGUAUGCCCCAUGUACAUGUUUUAUGGUGUUUUGGAAACUUACAGGGUCAAAUAUAGGGCUUUCCCCUUUCAGUUUUUACACAUUGACAUUUGCCAGGUUGGUUAUGUUGCCUUUCAGUCCGUAUGGCAGCCCAGGGAUAAAAAUUACCCCCAUCAUGGCAUACCGUUUGCAAAACUAGACAACCCAGGGUAUUCAAAAUGGGUUAUGUAAAGUCUUUUUAUUAGCCACUUGGUCACAAACCCAGGCCAAAGUU
Non-coding RNA from Pelobates cultripes (western spadefoot toad), 4533 nucleotides. The record is from the annotation of a GenBank genome assembly. Lineage: Eukaryota; Metazoa; Chordata; Amphibia; Anura; Pelobatidae.